AACAAGCCAGACCACGCUGGUUCCGUGCGGCAGACUCCGUCUGGCGCAAGGCGAAGAGGGAAUGCGACAGGAUCGAUCCGAACCAGGUUCGAUCCGAAGCGCAGCCGCCCCCGCGACCGUUACCGGAAAGAUCGCUCCAUGCCACUGGGCCCAGGCCCGGGAAGGCGGCGCGAUCGCUGGGGAAACCCUGAAUCCGCGAGCCGGGAGACCUGCCAGCGCCGAUUUGAAUGG
RNAcentral lists this non-coding RNA (231 nucleotides) under Novosphingobium sp. FSW06-99. RNAcentral also lists the same sequence under 1 other name. The record is from RNAcentral. Lineage: Bacteria; Pseudomonadati; Pseudomonadota; Alphaproteobacteria; Sphingomonadales; Sphingomonadaceae.